GGAGGCUACUGCUAUUGGGAUUCGACUAAGCCAUGCGAGUCAAGGUGUCUUCGGACGCCGGCGUACGGCUCAGUAACACGUAGGUAACCUACCCUCAGGACUGAGAUAACCCCGGGAAACUGGGGCUAAUAUUAGAUAGAUAAAAGAUACUGGAAUGUUCUUUUAUCCAAAGCUUUUGCGCCUGAGGAUGGGCCUGCGUCCGAUUAGGUUGUUGGUGGGGUAAUGGCCCACCAAGCCUACGAUCGGUACGGGCAGUGAGAGCUGAAGCCCGGAGUUGGGGACUGAGACAAGGCCCCAGGCCCUACGGGGCGCAGCAGGCGCGAAACCUCUGCAAUGCGGGAAACCGUGACAGGGGGAUCCCAAGUGCUCAUGCAUUGCAUGGGCUGUUCUUUGGUCUAAGUAACCAGAGGAGUAAGGGCUGGGCAAGACCGGUGCCAGCCGCCGCGGUAAUACCGGCAGCUCAAGUGGUAGCCGCGAUUAUUGGGCCUAAAGCGUUCGUAGCCGGAUAAGUAAGUCUUUGGCUAAAUCCUGCGACUUAACCGUGGGAAAUCUAGAGAUACUGCUUGUCUUGAGACCGGGAGAGGUUGGAGGUACUCCCAGGGUAGGGGUGAAAUCCUGUAAUCCUGGGGGGACCACCUGUGGCGAAGGCGUCCAACUGGAACGGGUCUGACGGUGAGGGACGAAACCUAGGGGAGCGAGCCGGAUUAGAUACCCGGGUAGUCCUAGGCGUAAAUGAUGCGAGUUAAGUGUGGGGGCAUCCACGAGAUGGCCCUGUGCUGUAGGGUAGCCGUUAAACUCGCCGCCUGGGGAGUACGGUCGCAAGGCUGAAACUUAA
This 835-nucleotide ribosomal RNA is filed under the name archaeon enrichment culture clone J24_3132. Its description in RNAcentral is "bacterial SSU rRNA". It matches the Rfam family "Archaeal small subunit ribosomal RNA", at positions 19 to 859 of the family's 1478-position model. The record is from RNAcentral.